This 859-nucleotide ribosomal RNA is filed under the name uncultured bacterium. RNAcentral describes it as "bacterial SSU rRNA". It matches the Rfam family "Bacterial small subunit ribosomal RNA", at positions 26 to 896 of the family's 1533-position model. The record is from RNAcentral.
AGAGUGAACGCUGGCGGCGUGCUUAACACAUGCAAGUCGAACGAGAACGGAUUAUAGCUUGCUAUGAUUGUCAGCUAAGUGGCGCACGGGUGAGUAAUAUAUAGGUAACGUGCCCUAGAGAAGAGGAUAACAAUUGGAAACGAUUGCUAAUACUCUAUAUGCCUUUAAGUCAAAAGACUGCAAGGGAAAUAUUUAUAGCUCUAGGAUCGGCCUGUACGGUAUCAGCUAGUUGGUGAGGUAAGAGCUCACCAAGGCAAUGACACCUAACUGGUUUGAGAGGAUGAUCAGUCACACUGGAACUGAGACACGGUCCAGACUCCUACGGGAGGCAGCAGUGGGGAAUAUUGCACAAUGGACGAAAGUCUGAUGCAGCAACGCCGCGUGGAGGAUGACACAUUUCGGUGCGUAAACUCCUUUUAUAUCUGAAGAUAAUGACGGUAAGAUAUGAAUAAGCACCGGCUAACUCCGUGCCAGCAGCCGCGGUAAUACGGAGGGUGCAAGCGUUACUCGGAAUCACUGGGCGUAAAGAGCAUGUAGGCGGGUAAUUAAGUCAGAAGUGAAAUCCAAUAGCUCAACUAUUGAACUGCUUUUGAAACUGGUUACCUAGAAUAUGGGAGAGGUAGAUGGAAUUUCUGGUGUAGGGGUAAAAUCCGUAGAGAUCAGAAGGAAUACCGAUUGCGAAGGCGAUCUACUGGAACAUUAUUGACGCUGAGAUGCGAAAGCGUGGGGAGCAAACAGGAUUAGAUACCCUGGUAGUCCACGCCCUAAACGAUGCACACUAGUUGUUGCUAUGCUAGACAUAGCAGUAAUGCAGUUAACACAUUAAGUGUGCCGCCUGGGGAGUACGGUCGCAAGAUUA